CCCUUAGAUGUUCUGGGCCGCACGCGUGCUACACUGAGUAAUUCAAUGGGUAAGGGAACGCUAGAGCAUUACCUAAUCUUGAAAUUUGCUCGUGAUGGGGAUCGACGGUUGCAAUUUUCCGUCGUGAACGAGGAAUACCUUGUAGGCGCAUGUCAUCAUCAUGCGCCGAAUACGUCCCUGUCCUUUGUACACACCGCCCGUCGCUCCUACCGAUUGAGUGAUCCGGUGAGGCUCUGGGACCUGGACGGAAAGAGCGUUUCGCUUGUUCUGUUUGGGAAACUUGGUCGAACCUUAUCAUUUAGAGGAAGGAGAAGUCGUAACA
RNAcentral lists this ribosomal RNA (322 nucleotides) under uncultured eukaryote. Its description in RNAcentral is "partial 18S ribosomal RNA". It matches the Rfam family "Eukaryotic small subunit ribosomal RNA", at positions 1470 to 1796 of the family's 1831-position model. The record is from RNAcentral.